UACGUAGGGACCAAGCGUUGUCCGGAAUCAUUGGGCGUAAAGAGCGUGUAGGCGGCUUGUUAAGUCUUGCGUGAAAUCUCGGGGCUCAACCCCGAGCGGUCGUGAGAAACUGGCAGGCUAGAGUGCGGGAGAGGAGAGUGGAAUUCCUGGUGUAGCGGUGAAAUGCGCAGAUAUCAGGAAGAACACCCGUGGCGAAGGCGGCUCACUACACGAUAAUUGACGCUGAGGCACGAAAGCGUGGGGAGCAAACAGG
Molecule: ribosomal RNA, 253 nt
Filed under: uncultured bacterium
Lineage: Bacteria
Description: partial 16S ribosomal RNA
Rfam family: Bacterial small subunit ribosomal RNA
Source: RNAcentral